Poecilia latipinna (sailfin molly) is the source of this 1933-nucleotide long non-coding RNA. RefSeq lists it as uncharacterized. The record is from RefSeq and is a predicted model, not a curated record. NCBI's taxonomy places the organism in Eukaryota, Metazoa, Chordata, Actinopteri, Cyprinodontiformes, Poeciliidae. The transcript is spliced from 6 exons.
UUUUCCACAAGUGUCACCUUUGGAUGGAGUUGGUAAGGCGCGGAAAUAAUCAUCCUGUAAUGGUGGGGUGGAGGGGAUAAACCCGGGCCAAUACACAAGUCUGCAGUCUGAAUACACAUCGACACAAUCAACAUGAGACCUGAAGAGGAAUCAGCGGGAAAUUGUUCAUUUGGGUGACACGCUGAUCAGGACUGCACACUUCUGUGGAUCCCCACUUCUGCUCAAAGAGAUUCUUUGGAGAACAACCAGAAUCAUGAAGACCCAGGAAGCCGGAAGCAGGAGAGAAAUCAUCGCCUCCUCUCUGUCCUGAUCUGCUGUGUGAGUUCUGUUGGAGAUGAACAUGCCAGCAGCACUCAGGAAAACACCACAGCCAGUUCAUCAGCUGACAGAGGAAAUCACUGAAAAAGGAUGAGGAACAGCUACUUACAUAGUUUUUGCCAGUUAUUGGACCUCAGUACUUCCUGGUUCUGGUUGCCUGAAUUUGUGAGAAGGGAAUAAGAUUUGAAAUUAAAUAGAACAUCCAGCAGCUUAAAAAGAUUUUUUGAUUUAUUUGGAACAUUGUGAAAGAUCCAAAACUACAGACAGUAUUUGUGAAGUGGAAGAAAACUGAUCUGUGGAUCUGAAAAUGUUUUACAAAGAAAAAUCUGAAAAGUGUCAUGUAUCUAUAUUUCGGUCGGGGAGAACGUUGUGGAGAAGUUUAAAGGUCAUAGUCUGCAACAACAUUGCAAGCUUUGAGCAUUUCCUGGAGCUCUGAUCAUUUCAUCACCUGAACCUGGACAGAGGAGGGGCCACCUGGACAGGUGAGCUGGUCAGAGCUGAAGGUUGAUGGAGCGAAAUCAAACCUUAAAGAAAAUCUGUGACAGGAUGGAGGAAACUUGAGACUAUGUUGGAGGUUCACUUUCCUUAACAUAAACAUCCAGCCAGAGCUGACAUGAAAAUUAAUGUUCAGAUCUGAACAUUAAUUCAGAUCUUCUGACUGAAUGAUCUUCUGCAACUUUACAGUAAAGACUUUGAGACAUUUUCAGUCUCUAGAUCUGUAAAGUUGGUGGAGUCAUUCCCACAGUUACAUGCAACUUCACUUGUAUUUACAAUGAGUUAAAUACAAAAGCUUGAACAUUCUGAUUGAAAUCUUAACAAAAUCCCUUAAAAUUUGUGGUUGUAAUGUGACAAACUGUGUAAAAGUGUAGCAUGUAAAAAUACUUUGUAAUAUUAUCUUGUCUAAUUCCCUGUUAAAUAUUGUCUUCUCUAUACUUAUUCGAAGCAGGAAAAUAACUAUUAAAUCAUGUUUUGAUGAAAUCAGCAGCUGUUCUGUCUGGAUGCCUGUUGGCGUCAUGAAGAUAAGAAAACCUGAAACCAAAUGAAUCUUCUUGAUUUAAAGGCCAGGUGGACAGAUCUACUUCGACUUCCUGAUUAUUCAUUCCUGUAUGUUUGUUGUUGCACAUUUCAGAGCACAAAUGAUAAUAUAGGUAAGAAGAGCUAAAAAGCAAAAUAAAUCUGAACUGCUGUGAAAAAGGGGGUGAAAAAAGUGAACACUCCACCUGGUUCUGCUACCUGCUGUCUCUGCUCAUGCACCUCUUUGAGCCCAUCCAGCAUUUCCAACCCAACAAGAACAGACGGUGUGGAGAGCGACUUAUUGGAUUGGAUCCCAUCCAGCAGUGACUUAUAUGCUCAACCUAUAUGUCACAGAUGGAUCUGAACAUCCACACAGACCUGGAGGGGAGAGGAGCCACUGGAUUCUCGUUCUGGCCAUAUAAGCUAAAAUAGAGAUGAUUCUUUUCAAAUAUUCAGUUUGUUUCAGGAGAUUUCCAACCACCAAUCGUCACCUGGGAGGGAUUCAAACACAAACAAGAGCUUUGAUUUAAUGGGCGGAUAUGACAGCAUUAAAGAAACGUAAGAUGUCUACAAUGUAAAACAGCAUCAGCACGUUUCAGAC